This 105-nucleotide non-coding RNA is filed under the name zebrafish metagenome. Its description in RNAcentral is "Ribosomal S15 leader". It matches the Rfam family "Ribosomal S15 leader". Rfam says of the family: The E. coli Ribosomal S15 gene 5' UTR can form two alternative structures. One that is a series of three hairpins, The other includes a pseudoknot. The record is from RNAcentral.
CCCGCUGAAUUAGUGAUCGGCGGGGAAUCACUUAAACUGGAGAAUCACUAUGUCACUAAAUGCUGAAAUCAAGGCGCAAAUCGUUGCUGACAACGCUCGUGGCGC